GGGGAAUUUUGCGCAAUGGGCGAAAGCCUGACGCAGCAACGCCGCGUGGGUGAUGAAGGUCUUCGGAUCGUAAAACCCUGUCGUCGGGGACGAAGGUAGCUUAGUUAACAGCUGAGUUGCUUGACGGUACCCGGAGAGGAAGCCCCGGCUAACUCUGUGCCAGCAGCCGCGGUAAUACAGAGGGGGCAAGCGUUAUUCGGAAUUAUUGGGCGUAAAGGGCGCGUAGGCGGUUUUUUAAGUCAGAUGUGUAAUCCCCGAGCUCAACUUGGGAACUGCAUCUGAGACUGGAAGGCUAGAGUACUGGAGAGGGUGGUAGAAUUCCACGUGUAGCGGUGAAAUGCGUAGAGAUGUGGAGGAAUACCAGUGGCGAAGGCGGCCACCUGGACAGUAACUGACGCUGAGGCGCGAAAGUGUGGGUAGCAAAC
This 425-nucleotide ribosomal RNA is filed under the name uncultured bacterium. RNAcentral describes it as "bacterial SSU rRNA". It matches the Rfam family "Bacterial small subunit ribosomal RNA", at positions 356 to 773 of the family's 1533-position model. The record is from RNAcentral.